GGCUAGUCCGGGGCGGCAGGCGGUACUAAGAUCAGUACUCCGCCGCCGGGUAAGUCACUUAGAACCCUCCAAGCCUGUGAACCCUUAGGGGCGGGAUAAUAGAGCCUGCCUUCUAGCGUAUUGUAAGAAUGAGAGCUUUAGAAGGGACAGACGGAUGGGGAAAACGAGGCAAAAAGGGGGAGAAGUAGGGAGACUGACACGCAUGAGAGGGCGCAGUGAGGAGUGAGUCAGAGACCCAGAGAGGGAGACUGGCCCCACGCCAGACACUCUCUCCCACCAGCAAGUGGGUGCCUCCAAGCUGCGGGGAGGAGUCGGUACUGAUGAAGUGACCAGGAGAGAAGCACGAGGAGACGCCCCAGAGAAAGAGCAUGGAAAGGACCAACAAGCUGUUUGGCUUCCCUCCAGUCAGUUGAAAUUGUACCAUGACUCCAGCCUUGAAGAACCGUCAGAAACAAAAGGCAAACAACCGCCAGAAAUCGAAGCGCAAGGCUCGUCGCCUGACUAAUAAAAUUUGUAAUCUUAA
Chlorocebus sabaeus (green monkey) is the source of this 523-nucleotide non-coding RNA. The record is from RefSeq and is a predicted model, not a curated record. Lineage: Eukaryota; Metazoa; Chordata; Mammalia; Primates; Cercopithecidae.